GACAGAGGGGGCAAGCGUUGUUCGGAAUUACUGGGCGUAAAGGGCGCGUAGGCGGUCUUGUAAGUCUUGUGUGAAAUCCCUCGGCUCAACUGAGGAACUGCACGGGAUACUGCGAGACUUGAGUUCGGGAGAGGGAAGCGGAAUUCCGGGUGUAGCGGUGAAAUGCGUAGAUAUCUGGAGGAACACCGGUGGCGAAGGCGGCAUCCUGGACCGACACUGACGCUGAGGCGCGAAAGCUAGGGUAGCAAACGGG
This 253-nucleotide ribosomal RNA is filed under the name uncultured bacterium. RNAcentral's name for it is "partial 16S ribosomal RNA". It matches the Rfam family "Bacterial small subunit ribosomal RNA", at positions 524 to 776 of the family's 1533-position model. The record is from RNAcentral.